This 66-nucleotide transfer RNA is filed under the name Eretes sticticus. Its description in RNAcentral is "tRNA-Phe". Lineage: Eukaryota; Metazoa; Arthropoda; Insecta; Coleoptera; Dytiscidae. The record is from RNAcentral.
AUUCAAAUAGCUUAUAUUAGAGCAUAAUAUUGAAGAUAUUAGGGAGAUUAAUUUAAUCUUUGAAUA